This 760-nucleotide small RNA is filed under the name Arabidopsis thaliana (thale cress). RNAcentral describes it as "ATSL276510". Lineage: Eukaryota; Viridiplantae; Streptophyta; Magnoliopsida; Brassicales; Brassicaceae. The record is from RNAcentral.
AAAAAACUAGAAGAAAUAGUAAUUAAUGUGUAUCUACAUAUAUAUUUUUGCAGCCAUUUUGUGAAAUAAAUCCUAUAGUUGGAACUUAUUUACAAUAGGUGCCACUGGAUUUUAAUGUUUGUUUUUGAUAAUUAGAAAAAAAUCUUCAAAUUAAAUAUUUGACAUUUAACAAUCUUCCCUAAAUCUCUCCACAUUAACUACACGAUUAGUUACUAAAAUAAAACUUCCAAAAUAUUUAAUAUCAUUUAAUUACUACAAAAUAAAUGGUUUUUUUACGGGACGGAUUGGUGGGACGGGUUUGACAGGACGUUACUUAAUAACAAUUGUAAACUAUAAAAUAAAAAUAUUUUAUAGAUAGAUACAAUUUGCAAACUUUAUGUAUACUAACUUUAGAAAAUAAAUUGUUUCCGCGGUGUACCGCGGGUUAAAAUCUAGUUUUGUAAUACAACCGUAGUUUGUUGUUUCCAAAAUGUUGUUCGCAUUGUGUAUAAUGAUAGCUUAUUGUCUAAUUGUUGUGAUCUGCUUCUUUUUUCAUGUUUUUAUUUUUACUUUUGAGUUAUACAUAUAGAUUAACAUAUAUGUCAAUGUUUUUUAACCCGACUCGCACGAUGAACCGGACUACUUUCGUGAUCACCGGUUCAUUGAGUCAAUCCAGUUCGAUGACGGGUCAAUUUCUUAAAGUUUUUUUUAAUGUUACAGAGAUUAUAUAGUUUUUAUAUAUAAAAGAUAUAUCAUAUUUAACAAAGUAAUAUAUUUAACA